CGGACGGGUGAGUAACGCGUGGGCAACCUGCCUCGCACUGGGGGAUAACACUUAGAAAUAGGUGCUAACACCGCAUAGCGGGCGGGGGCGCAUGCCCUGCCCUGAAAACCCAGGUGGUGCGAGAUGGGCCCGCGUCUGAUUAGCUGGUUGGCAGGGUAACGGCCUACCAAGGCGACGAUCAGUAGCCGGCCUGAGAGGGUGGACGGCCACAUUGGGACUGAGACACGGCCCAGACUCCUACGGAAGGCAGCAG
Molecule: ribosomal RNA, 253 nt
Filed under: uncultured bacterium
Lineage: Bacteria
Description: partial 16S ribosomal RNA
Rfam family: Bacterial small subunit ribosomal RNA
Source: RNAcentral